AUUCACAUGCGGGAACGUCCCAAUGAAGUUUAACUGAGGGGCGUUCAUUGCUAGUCGAAAACUACUACGAAUAACCCGCAUGAAAUACCGCCGGCAACGGCGUUUUUUGGUGGCCGAGAGGCC
This is a small nuclear RNA of Tropilaelaps mercedesae, 123 nucleotides long. It matches the Rfam family "U4 spliceosomal RNA". Rfam says of the family: U4 small nuclear RNA (U4 snRNA) is a component of the major U2-dependent spliceosome. The structure of U4 snRNA from yeast and human has been reported. U4 snRNA presents a k-turn RNA motif in the 5p-SL related to recognition of Snu13 protein. The record is from Rfam. Lineage: Eukaryota; Metazoa; Arthropoda; Arachnida; Mesostigmata; Laelapidae.